This 1515-nucleotide ribosomal RNA is filed under the name uncultured bacterium. Its description in RNAcentral is "bacterial SSU rRNA". It matches the Rfam family "Bacterial small subunit ribosomal RNA". The record is from RNAcentral.
AUUCCAAGCUUAGAGUUUGAUCCUGGCUCAGGAUGAACGCUGGCGGUGUGCCUUAGGCAUGCAAGUCGAACGAUAAGCUUCCUUCGGGAAGUGGACAGUGGCAGACGGGUGAGUAACACGUAGGUAUCUACCGAAGAGUGGGGAAUAGCCAGCCGAAAGGUUGGGUAAUACCGCAUAAUCCCUCCGGGGCAAAGUAUUUAUACGCUUUUCGAGGAGCCUGCGGGCUAUCAGUUAGUUGGUGGGGUAAUGGCCUACCAAGACUACGACGGCUAGCCGAUGUGAGAGCAUGAUCGGCCACAAGGUUACUGAGACACGGAACCUACACCUACGGGUGGCAGCAACCGGGAAUAUUGCGCAAUGGACGAAAGUCUGACGCAGCGACACCGCGUGCAGGAAGACGCUUUUAGGAGUGUAAACUGCUGUGGCGAGGGAGAAAUUUUGAUAGUACCUCGCUAGAAAGCACCAGCUAACCACGUGCCAGAAGCUUCGGUAAUACGUGGGGUGCAAGCGUUAUCCGGAUUUAUUGGGCGUAAAGGGUCCGUCGGCGUCUUUAUAAGUCGGUUGUUUAAGACUGAGGCUCAACUUCAGAGAGGCAAACGAUACUAUAAGGAUAGAGUCUGUUCGAGGAAACUAGAAUUCUUGGUGGAGGGGUGAAAUCCGUAGAUAUCAAGAGGAAUACCAUGCGCGAAGGCAGGUUUCUAGGACAUGACUGACGCUCAGGGACGAAAGCUUGGGUAGCAAAAGGGAUUAGAGACCCCUGUAGUCCAAGCCGUAAACGCUCCUUGCUAGUUGCUCGAGUUUACUUGAGUGGCGUAAGCUAACGCGUUAAGCAAGGCGCCUGGGGAGUACGACCGCAAGGUUAAAACUCAAAGGAAUUGACGGGGGAGCGCACAACCGGUGGAGCAUGUGGUUUAAUUCGAUACAAAGCGAAAAACCUUACCCGGGAUUGACAUGUACCUGCACGGCUAUGGAAACAUAGCUUUCUUCGAGAGUGGUACACAGGUGAUGCAUGGCUGUCGUCAGCUCGUGUCGUGAGACGUCCACUUAAGUGUGGUAACGAGCGCAACCCUUGUUCUGUGUUAUACGUGUCACAGAAGACUGCCCUAGUUUUACUAGGGAGGAAGGAGAGGACGAUGUCAAGUCAGCAUGUCCCUUACACCUGGGGCUACACACAUCCUACAAUGGAGCCGACAACAGGUAGCGACGAGGUAACUCUGAGCUAAUCCUCUAAACGGCCCCUCAGUUCGGAUUGAGGGCUGCAAUUUGCCCUCAUGAAGCCGGAAUCGGUAGUAAUCGCAAAUCAGCAGGUUGCGGUGAAUACGUUCUCGCUCCUUGUACACACUGCCCGUCAAGCCAGCAAAGUCAGCAACGCCCGAAGCGGGUGACCGUAACUAGUUUACUAGAGCGGCCCUUCUACGGCGAGGUUGGCGAUGAGGACUAAGUCGUAACAAGGUAUCCGUACUGGAAGGUGCGGCUGGAUCACCUCCUUAGAUCUGGAUCCCCUCUAGAGUCGAC